UGAGGGAUGAAAGGGGACACGGUGGGAGGAAUGAAGGGAGUGAAAAAAUGGAAGUAGAAGAAGAUACGGAAUGAAGAUGUAAAUGAGAGAAGGGAAAGGAAUGUGUGUUUGAAAGGUGAAGAGGAAGGUGAGGGAUGAAAGAGGGUACGGAAGGUUGAAAGCACACAAGAAACGAGGGAGAGAGAAAGAAGAAAAUAGAAGAUACCUUUGGAAAAAUGAAGGAAGGAAGAGAUGAGGUGUGGAAAAGAGAGGGAGGGGAUACAGAAGGUUGGAAGCACACGAGAAGAAAGGAAGAGGAUGGGAGAAGAGGCAGAAAGGGUGAGAGAAGGAUGAGGCUUAGGGAACAGAACAAGGAAGGCGAGGGAUGAAAGAAUUAAGGUAUGGACGGGUGGAGGCACGAGAGAAGAGGAGAGGGAAAAAAGGGGUGCAAGGGGAUAUAUGGAAAGAAGACAUAUAUAAGAGAAGGAUGGAAAGGAGUGUUUGUUCGGAAGGUAAAGGAGAUGAAGGAAAGAAAGAGAGGAAGAGGAGUGAUGAAAGGGGAGAGGGAAGAUUGGAACCACGAUAGAAGAGAGAGGGAGAGAAAGGAGUAGAAGAUACGGCGAGAAAAACUAAUGAAGAAAGGAAGAUGAGAAAGAAAG
Long non-coding RNA from Eriocheir sinensis (Chinese mitten crab), 638 nucleotides. RefSeq lists it as uncharacterized. The transcript is spliced from 4 exons. The record is from RefSeq and is a predicted model, not a curated record. NCBI's taxonomy places the organism in Eukaryota, Metazoa, Arthropoda, Malacostraca, Decapoda, Varunidae.